AACGAACGCUGGCGGCAGGCUUAACACAUGCAAGUCGAACGCUCGUAGCAAUACGGGAGUGGCGGACGGGUGAGUAACGCGUGGGAACGUGCCCUGAGGUACGGAAUAACUGCGGGAAACUGCAGCUAAUACCGUAUGAGCCCCGUGAGGGGAAGAUUUAUCGCCUUAGGAGCGGCCCGCGUCGGAUUAGCUAGUUGGUGGGGUAACGGCUUACCAAGGCUUCGAUCCGUAGCUGGUCUGAGAGGACGAUCAGCCACACUGGGACUGAGACACGGCCCAGACUCCUACGGGAGGCAGCAGUGGGGAAUCUUGCGCAAUGGGGGCAACCCUGACGCAGCCAUGCCGCGUGAAUGAUGAAGGCCUUAGGGUUGUAAAGUUCUUUUGCCCGUGACGAUGAUGACGGUAACGGGAGAAUAAGCUCCGGCUAACUUCGUG
Molecule: ribosomal RNA, 435 nt
Filed under: uncultured bacterium
Lineage: Bacteria
Description: bacterial SSU rRNA
Rfam family: Bacterial small subunit ribosomal RNA
Source: RNAcentral